CGGGAAAAGCUCAAAUUUAAAAUCUGGCAGUCUUUGGCUGUCCGAGUUGUAAUUUAGAGAAGCGAUUAUCACGUUUUCGUUCGGGUUCAAGUUCCUUGGAAUAGGACAUCAGAGAGGGUGAGAAUCCCGU
Molecule: ribosomal RNA, 130 nt
Filed under: Archaeosporaceae sp.
Lineage: Eukaryota; Fungi; Glomeromycota; Glomeromycetes; Archaeosporales; Archaeosporaceae
Description: partial large subunit ribosomal RNA
Rfam family: Eukaryotic large subunit ribosomal RNA
Source: RNAcentral